Molecule: ribosomal RNA, 497 nt
Filed under: uncultured bacterium
Lineage: Bacteria
Description: partial 16S ribosomal RNA
Rfam family: Bacterial small subunit ribosomal RNA
Source: RNAcentral
GAUGAACGCUGGCGGCGUGCCUAAUACAUGCAAGUCGAGCGAACAGAUGAGGAGCUUGCUCCUCUGACGUUAGCGGCGGACGGGUGAGUAACACGUGGAUAACCUACCUAUAAGACUGGGAUAAAUUCGGGAAACCGGAGCUAAUACCGGAUAAUAUAUUGAACCGCAUGGUUCAAUAGUGAAAGACGGUUUUGCUGUCACUUAUAGAUGGAUACGCGCCGCAUUAGCUAGUUGGUAAGGUAACGGCUUACCAAGGCAACGAUGCGUAGCCGACCUGAGAGGGUGAUCGGCCACACUGGAACUUAGACACGGUCCAGACGCCUACGGGAGGCAGCAGUAGGGAAUCUUCCGCAAUGGGCGAAAGCCUGACGGAGCAACGCCGCGUGAGUGAUGAAGGUCUUCGGAUCGUAAAACUCUGUUAUUAGGGAAGAACAAAUGUGUAAGUAACUAUGCACGUCUUGACGGUACCUAAUCAGAAAGCCACGGCUAACUACGUG